AUGUUUUACGUAACUGUAAUCAUACUCCAUUUAAUGACUGGCUUUAGUGCUGUAAUUAUGUUCUUAUUUACAGAAGAGUCUACAGCUGUAGAGAAGAAGAGGAAGCCUCUUACCAGACUAAAUAUUCAUUCUGCAUUCUGGAUUUUGGCAUCUAUUGCUGUGACAUACUACUUUGAUUUUUUAAGAACUGUUAAAGAAACUAUUCAAGCAAAUAGUUGGUGGUUUGCCUCUGGCAGUUGUUUAUUGGCUGCAUGUUUAUCUGUUGCCUUUUACUGCAUCCUGUAUCUUGAGUGGUAUUGUGGAAUUGAGGACUAUGAUGCACAGUAUCCAGCACUGAUACCUGUCACAACAGCUACCUUUAUUGCAGCAGCAAUUUGUUUCAACAUUGCAUUAUGGCCUGUCUGGUCGUUUAUGACACCUUUGUUGCUCUUCAUUCAGUUCAUGGGCGUUGUGAUGCUUGUAUCACUCCUGGGAUAAGUCCUUCAGGAUAUACUAUUCAGAUGAAUCCUGUGAAACUGAAAAAGCUUAAGGAAGACAUCAAAGAUCAUGCAGUAAAUAGGCAUCAUGUGAAGGAACUCAAGUAACUGUUAUCCUGCAAAGUGGAUGUCACUUUUGUUACAUUCCAGUACUUUUAUUAUUUCUAAUACUGCUUGUUUGCUGUAACUGAUGCUGUAAUUCUUAGACUACCUGAUUUAUAAAUCAAAUGGACAUAACCAUAGGUCAGCCAGUGGCUGGGAAAAAGCAACUGAUAGCGAAUAACUGAAAGAUAGAUAGGUUUUACCUCUUUUAGUAACAUAAAGCAUUUUAUGACUGCUUUGUAAAGCUUUUAUUCGUAUUUCAAUGUUAAGCAGAUGGGUAAUAAUUCAGUUACAUAGUCCCAAAUCCUAUCUGGGGACUCCAGAAGUCACCUAGUCCUACUUCCUGCUCAAAGCAGGUUGUUUGUCUUGAAAGUAAUUGAUACUUAAUUCAAGUGUUGUGGGCUUUUAAUACUAUAUUCUUUCAAUUUGAAUUGACAGCUAAAAUAUUGUUAAUCUGGAAUCUCUGUUUGUACUUGUAAACUUACUCAUAUAUGACACAUUUCUUGAUCUAUUAAAUUUCUAAUGUUACGUGUGUUAUAAUAAAGGAAAUACUUUAUUACUUAAUCUCUUGACUUCAGACCUGCUAAUGUUUAAAAAAAGAUAGAGAUCAGGGUAAGGACCUAGAAAGCUGGUUGAUGUUUAAGUCAUUGUUAAUUUGGCAGUGCUGUAAAUGAAAUAAAUAGAUUCUACUUGUGCUGAUACAGCUUGUCCACAGCCAAAGAUGGAUGAUCAAGCUGUGAAUAACCAGCAGUAUAAUGAACAAUAUUAACACUGCACAAGAAAAUAAGAGAACAAAGUAAAUUCUUUUGAUGUAUGCACUAUUUUUCAGUAUUCAGGAUGUUUUACUUCUGUAAAUUAACUUUUCAUUAUUAGCAGUGCCUGUUAAUGAAGUUGCCAUUUUUCUUCCUCAGCAAUAAAGAGGCUGGUAUUACCUUAAAUGUUAUUAGUCAUACAUAGCUGGGAAAAUAAAAUAACAUUGUCUGUCUCUUCACCUUGGCUAAGCUACUUAAGUAUCUGAAAAACUGGGCACCAUCUACUUGCUAGACCAUUGAAUGUAGAUCUUUGUGUUAAAUACUUUAACACCUGCACCUUUUGGAAGAUAGGAGAAUGUAGAAGCUGGGUACUGAAACUUGUUAAAAUCUACACCUUGUGACUCUUGCUUGAAGUCUGAACUAUUAGAAGACGCUGUUCUUCAUUCUGACUUUCAAAUUCACUCCAUUUCAGAAUACACAAUACAUGAAAUGGUUAGUAAUGAAAAAGAUACACAUUGUCUUAAGCUACUACUGUUUCAUUAAGGAAAAUGUUGGUAUGCAAUACACAGGAUCAGUGAAACCAAAAUAAAAUACAUUUAGCACAACUGUUAAGUAGCUUGUAGAGUUAACAGCUUGAUUUGCUUAAAUGUAGUAUUUAAGUUUUCCAAAACCAGUUGUACUUUGCAUCUUUAAAGGGCAAGUUGCCUAUUCAGAUCUUCAUCUUUUAACAAACUUUAACAUAUUUACAUCUGCAUACACAGGUACAUUUGAGUAACUUUGUUUAUUAUAUUUAAAAUGAAGUGUUACUCAGGGAUGGUAAUUACCACUGUAUUUUUAUUUGUCAAGUAUAUAAAUGCUCUAGGUGUUUUGAG
This is an RNA transcript of Athene cunicularia (burrowing owl), 2202 nucleotides long. It is a transcript of the gene named transmembrane protein 128, with no coding region annotated. The record is from RefSeq and is a predicted model, not a curated record. Lineage: Eukaryota; Metazoa; Chordata; Aves; Strigiformes; Strigidae. The transcript has 5 exons.